This 497-nucleotide ribosomal RNA is filed under the name uncultured bacterium. RNAcentral's name for it is "partial 16S ribosomal RNA". It matches the Rfam family "Bacterial small subunit ribosomal RNA", at positions 28 to 507 of the family's 1533-position model. The record is from RNAcentral.
GAUGAACGCUGGCGGCGUGCCUAAUACAUGCAAGUCGAGCUAACGGACGAGAAGCUUGCUUCUCUGAUGUUAGCGGCGGACGGGUGAGUAACACGUGGAUAACCUACCUAUAAGACUGGGAUAACUUCGGGAAACCGGAGCUAAUACCGGAUAAUAUUUUGAACCGCAUGGUUCAAAAGUGAAAGACGGUCUUGCUGUCACUUAUAGAUGGAUCCGCGCUGCAUUAGCUAGUUGGUAAGGUAACGGCUUACCAAGGCAACGAUGCAUAGCCGACCUGAGAGGGUGAUCGGCCACACUGGAACUGAGACACGGUACAGACUCCUACGGGAGGCAGCAGUAGGGAAUCUUCCGCAAUGGGCGAAAGCAUGACGGAGCAACGCCGCGUGAGUGAUGAAGGUAUUCGGAUCGUAAAACUCUGUUAUUAGGGAAGAACAUAUGUGUAAGUAACUGUGCACAUCUUGACGGUACCUAAUCAGAAAGCCACGGCUAACUACGUG